This is a long non-coding RNA of Lolium perenne, 5318 nucleotides long. RefSeq lists it as uncharacterized. The record is from RefSeq and is a predicted model, not a curated record. Lineage: Eukaryota; Viridiplantae; Streptophyta; Magnoliopsida; Poales; Poaceae.
UAGUCUCUGCUGAUGGGCCAGUACAUGUGUGGGCCCUGUUGCGUUUGUUAGACUCAAGGAGGAAAAGGAUCGACACAGGCGGAUCUCAUGGAGAGCUAGGGUUUGGUUUCGCUGCCGCCGCCGCCGCCGCUGCCGCCGGCCCAGCCCCCGGCGCCCUUCCACCCACUCCUUUGGCCGCUCACCCCAGCUCGCCUGUCCACACGCAGCACCAACCGAUGCUGGCUAUCCACGCACAACAGCAACCAGCGACGACAAUCGAGGCCACCAUUAGAUUAUCGCGCUCGGCCGCGACACCUGCUGGCUCUGGAUGCCCCCGCAUUUCCUCCCUACAGCAGGACACGCCGUGAGCAGGGCUGGAGGUCCUACAGCAGAGUGUUCGCUGCAGAGGAGCGAUGUGCCUCGUGGCCGGCUCCGAUGUCAAAGGCGCGAGCUAGGCAGCGAGGCCGUGAGGGUUCCCGUACGCCAAGGUAGGAGCGUGUGGUGGCGCUGCUGUUCUUGCAGUAUGGCAUGUGAGGCCCUCCCUACCCCGUCCAUAUCCACGAGGUGCCCCUGAGCUUCAUCUCCGCACACCCCCUCCCACAAGUUGCCGGACGGAUUGGCACGGCUGAUGGGGAUGGAAGCAUCGCGGCGGCAUGUAUGGAUGGUUUCCGUUCGUCCUAGGGUGGGUGCUUAGGACGCACUCCCCCUUCCGCAACCUUGACCUCGAUGGUGGAGUACACGACGACUUGCCAUCUACCUGUCGGCGCCCCUCUGCCGUCCCAAUUUCGGCCUCCAUCCAGGUCGGUUGAUCCUUGCCCUGAAGGUAUAGAUGGCCCCUCUCUCACACGAUAUUCCUACAGUAGAGAGAGAGAGAGGUCUCGCAUCCUGCUCCACUAGCAUGUCCCCUCCCCAGAACCACGAAGUCCUUUUUUUUUUAUUCCAUGCCACUGCUGAUGUGUGAUCUGCUGAUUGUUGAUUUUUUGCAUCAGGUUAUGCAGCAAAGUAACAUGUUUGAUUGAUUAUUAUUUAUACAUGAAGUGAAUGGUCUGGAGCACUUGGCCUUGAUUUAAUUCAAUAGCUGGGAUUGGCAGCUCACGGAACGCAUUCACUCAGUCACAAAUUAACGUUCUCCGAAUAAUUCUGAAUAUCUUCUCAAUUAGAUCAAAAUUUUAUGUAUUACUGCUCAUGGUGUCUGCUUACAAAUGUCUUUUGCUUAUAUCACAUAUUCAAUGUAAUGUAGUUGAAAGUUACUUGAAGAAUGUUGAGCCAAUGAAGUUUCUGCAGUUCACUGAUUAGCUUCUUAUUAUGUCACCGGAUGUGGAAACUUUUUUGAGCAAAUUCGGGAGGUGAGGCCCCUACCUGAACUUUCAUUAAAAAUUAACGAGUCACUAAGGCUUAAAAUGUUUACAACCACAGAGUACAGAGUAUAAAGGGGGCUAGGACAACAAGAUAGAAAAGGGAAUAUGCAAAAUGCAAGUUGAAACAUAAACCGGUCUUCAGAACUGUCAGUCCACAAUCCACAUUUUAGCCUCCUCUUUUUCUUUCUUUCUUUCUUUCUUCCUUCACCGUAUCGACACAUUGUCGAGCCACCACUGCUACCGGCACUUUGAUGUUGCCAACCAGAUGCUUCAGUAAAUUGCAGUAAUAACCAUAUUCCAGACGUAUUUUUUACCGUCUGAAACUUGCUCCUUGCUACCAAGUACAUGUAUUCUACAGCAGCGACACCAUUUAAAUGAAUUCCUAGGUAGCCCAAUAUUUUCUUGGUAUGCUAGCAAUAUGAAGCAAUGUGCUUCGUAUGCUGGAAAUAUUUGGGUUAACCUUUUGAGACAUUGGUCUUUAUUGAAGGUGGCCAUUCUUCAGCUUUGAACCUUAUAACCAUAUAUGUGCUACAACUUGAUUGAUGUGGGGUUGUCUGCGCGUACUCUCAGCUUACUUGUCGUUGUGAUAUCGGCCAUUUGGUUCAUGUUUUGAAUGAUUCAAUGCAUUCGUUCGAACUGGUGGGUCAGAUCUUUCUUAGUGUGGCCUCUAUGGGCGGAGCUGAAAAUAUGGUAGGCAACGGAGGUGGUGGCGUGCCAAAGGAGUGGAGGUGAGACACUAUUCGUGACAGCGGCAAGCAUCGUGACUUUUCUGUGACAUGACAAUCCUGGUUCAGGUGGGUCGACAUUUGAGUUGAACGGGUAAACGUCCAGUGGGCGCUGUGCAUUGGAUGUGGGGUUGUUCACGACAACCGGUGGCGCCAAGGACAACAUGAUAUUUCUAUCUUCUUUCGUUAUGUGCACCAAGCUACUCAAACCAAUAUGACCACCUAACUAAGCCAAACUGAUCUUCUGCUUAUGCCAUCAACAGAGAGUGCUUAAUAGUCAGCUAAUUAUGGUCCUCGCCGAGAAGCGCAAACGCUCUGUGGACACCGAGUGUUUUAUCAUCUGGUUCUGCUUCCUCAGGGGUGAAGCCACAUCUCCAACAUGCUCUGUGGCGAGAGAAUGAACAAGAAGGUUUGAGCAUACAGCUGUCUCUACUCUCCGAUUUAGUCAGACCAGGUUAGCAAGAUCAAAUCAGUUCUCUCCCAAAAUACUUCUCUAAUCAGUUUAUGCACGUACAUGCCUAUACUGUUGGAAUGCAAAUUCUACUAUCAAAGCCUUAUUAAUCAAUGCAAAACCAGUAGCAUCGUUCACUUAAAUUUAUUGAUAACACUAUUUGCCGGAAUUUGAGCAUCACAUUGCUAGCGGCCACAUGGCAGGAACUUACCAUCUGCAAUGGAGUUUUGAAGAUAGGAAAACAUCUAGCUAGGUCAGGACCUUUUCAAUUUAAGGCCUAAAAGGGCAACUUAAUCCCUAUGAUUAAUUAGAUCAGAAUCGGAAGUGUGAAGUAGUUUUUUUAAUAAAAGUGUGUGUGAAGUAGCUGAUGUACAAUGCAACUUCCGUUUAGCUUGAUCAGUUGAUGUUCAUGUACAUGUGCUAAAAUAUUUUCUUUGCCAUCAGACCUUUAUCAAGACAGAACAUACUGUGACAAACUGUGCUCACAUCAUCAUAUACUAGAAGGAUAUUCGUGUUAGGCCAUUAUUAAUUUCAUUCCUCUCACAGUUUUAUAGAUGGAUUGAUUGAUCAUUGACACCUCUGUUUCAUAUACGUGAUUUUCUUCUUUUCAACAUUGAUAAAAUGCGUAAAUCAUCAUUCGUUAUACACUCUUCAACUUCAUUCCUUAUUAAUGAUCCUUAAAUAUACUUUAUCUGUAGAAGUAAUAUCCAAAAAUCAGGACCUAUAAUGAUUAGUAUAGUACAAAUAGUGUUACAUACUUAAUAAUUUUAUCUCCUAUUUAAAUAAAGCAGGUAUUCUACACAUUACAACUUCAUUAAUUUUUAUCUCAAUUUUUUCCAUGAACAUCCACCGUAAGUGUUUCAGUGUAUGUACAUUCUUGCUCCACGAGUACAAAAAGAAAUCUCAACCUAGAAGACCAAUUUGAUAAUAUGUUGAUUCUUAGGUCACUUCUUACGUCAAGAUGAUGUUUUUUCCAUGUUCGUAUUGGAGUAAUUGAGAAGAUAACUAAUGGUGUGUUUUAUAGAUGGGUUUCUUUCUGGCAGAGAACAUGAACAUAUGGUAAUAGAGGGACCUUUAUUAGUCAUGUUGUGCAAGCAGUAUGUUUUAGUGAUAAUGGUAGAUUCCUUAUAAGUUGUAUUGGUUGAUUUAACUUGCUAUAUUCAGUUUGGCUUGGUUGUGUGGUCAUAUUGGCCGAGUAUUUUGGUGCUCACAAGCAUGUAAAUUUUGUGAUUUUAAUAGCAGACCACUUCAUCUCAGAUUGUUGAGGAAGUGGGCUGAUGUGUUGAUGUUUCUCUCAAUCUAAAGCUACGGUACAGUAUCGAGUGCUAUCUCAAUAGAUUCCACCAGUUGAAACUCCAUCAUAGCAUGUAGUGAAUGUUUGCAAUGUAGCAUUUGAGAUGUAUAUGCACUUAUUCUUUUACUUAAAAUCUGUAGCAUGUGAUAUGCAGCUUAGUUCAGCAGUGGCACUGUUCUCAGUUGAAUGCAUGGUAUGAUUCAUGUAAUGCAAUCUAUGUUCCUUAUUAGGACAUGGCUGUGCAACGUUUUCCAGGUUGUGUCUGUUUUCACGAAUGAGCUGAAAAUAUUUGCUACAAAUGCUCGAGUGGACAUCGUUGGUCGGAGCUACUGCUACGGCAAGGAGUCCUCUCGCUGGAGUCGGUCUGCUAGGCCGGGUUCCUCCUAUCUGUUGCUGCUGCAGAGAGUCUAAGUUUGUUUGUUCGCUUCUUAUCUCCCAUCUUUUUUUUCUUAUGUUUACCUUUAUUUAUUUUCUUAUUUUUGCAUUGGUUCAUCUAAGUGGAUGCGUUGUUUCUUUGUAUUCUUUAUCUGCAGUUUGACUGAAUUUCCCACAAAAUACACCUGGUAUUCGCAUGGAAAGAGGUGGGUGAAGAGGAGAUGUGGUUUUAUGUUGGGGAGAAUUUGGCCUGUGCAUCGGGUCUACCGAAGAGUUGUUCUGUAUGCGGGUGUUGCUUAUGGCUGUUCUUAGUGCAAGCAGUUUUGAGGAUGCAGGCAUCACGUGAGCUUUACCCAUGUUACAUACUAUGAAACGUGUCAGGCUGGGGGUCUUUAGGAUGAUGACAGUGAGUGGUCGCGAUUGUUUACUGUGACUGUUGUGUGGGCUAGACCACCUCAGCCCAGGCAUCUCUUUGUCACCAUCUUGAUGUAUUGUGAUGUGGGAGAAGCUCCGCAGCCCUUUGAGAAGUAAUGGAGGUACUUGGUUGAUGACAUCAUUUAUGUUCAGAGGCAGUCACAGCGGAAUCAGCACUACAACAUGCCUUGCAGCUUUGCAGUGGAGACAUCUUCUCAAGGAGCAUGGCCAGCACUACAACAUGCCUUGCAGCUUUGCAGUGGAGACAUCUUCUCAAGGAGCAUGGCCAGUUGUUUGCUAAUAAUAACGGGCAUGCUCUUGCUUCUUAUAAUCUCAUGAUGUUUGUGUGCCAUAUGCUCAGCUGAUGGCAAAUGGCAUCCUUAUCUUCACCUGUGGCGGUGACUCGGCCAUGGAAGCAGGGUGUAUCUUUGGCUGUGACGGAUGUGAGAAGACGGCGGAAGACUUCCGUAAGUUGCCUUCUCAUAACGAGCUCCAACAACAAUAGCGAGCUCCAAGAACUGAAGCAUCUGUUAGUUUAGAGUGUUGACAGGGUGACCAUUUUUGGCUUCAUAAUUUCUGUUGUUACUAUGCAUACCAGUGUUUGCUUUGUUAUCUGUGUUAACCACAUUGUCCUAUCACAAGUCCAGUCGAAAAUCUAUAUUCACCGCCUGUAAUGAAUCAGUUUUUCAUCAAACUUUUUCAGUUCUUUAUGUUGCGAUUCA